GCUGGGGCAGUGGCUCAACAGUAGAGCAUCUGCUUGGUAUGCAGAAGGUGCCGGGUUCAUCCCUUGGUCUCUCCAGUU
This 78-nucleotide transfer RNA is filed under the name Sphaerodactylus townsendi. RNAcentral's name for it is "tRNA-Thr". It matches the Rfam family "tRNA". From Rfam's summary of the family: Transfer RNA (tRNA) molecules are approximately 80 nucleotides in length. Lineage: Eukaryota; Metazoa; Chordata; Lepidosauria; Squamata; Sphaerodactylidae. The record is from RNAcentral.